CUCCUACGGGAGGCAGCAGUGGGGAAUAUUGCACAAUGGGCGCAAGCCUGAUGCAGCCAUGCCGCGUGUAUGAAGAAGGCCUUCGGGUUGUAAAGUACUUUCAGCGGGGAGGAAGGCGUUGAGGUUAAUAACCUCAGCGAUUGACGUUACCCGCAGAGAGACGCAUCCAGGCUAACUCCGUGCCAGCAGCCGCGGUAAU
RNAcentral lists this ribosomal RNA (199 nucleotides) under uncultured Enterobacter sp. Its description in RNAcentral is "partial 16S ribosomal RNA". It matches the Rfam family "Bacterial small subunit ribosomal RNA", at positions 336 to 524 of the family's 1533-position model. The record is from RNAcentral. Lineage: Bacteria; Pseudomonadati; Pseudomonadota; Gammaproteobacteria; Enterobacterales; Enterobacteriaceae.